GAUGAAGAACGCAGCGAAAUGCGAUAAGUAGUGUGAAUUGCAAAAUUCCGUGAAUCAUCGAAUCUUUGAACGCACAUUGCGCCUUCUGGUAUUCCGGAAGGCAUGCCUGUUCGAGAGUCAUUAACAACCGUUUCGAUCCCUUUCUUUCAGAAAUUACAAAGAGGAAAAGGGUUUGGUUAUGGUGGAGGAGGGAAAGGGAGCGUUUAGCCUGUAAAAAAAGAGGCUGUGUUCCGCCUCCCCCCCAAAAUUGUACAGGCGGUCGUGUGCGCCCACGCAUCGAGGUGUUGUAAAAGCUGCCACGGCACUUUUCACCUGUGCAGUGCGAGAUUGGCCAGCCGGUUUAAAAACCCCUCCAAACAAACAAAGGUUGACCUCGGAUCAGGUAGGGAUACCCGCUGAACUUAAGCAUAUCAAUAAGCGGAGGA
Molecule: unclassified non-coding RNA, 425 nt
Filed under: soil metagenome
Description: partial contains 5.8S ribosomal RNA, internal transcribed spacer 2, and large subunit ribosomal RNA
Rfam family: 5.8S ribosomal RNA (bases 1-120)
Source: RNAcentral